Paramormyrops kingsleyae is the source of this 456-nucleotide long non-coding RNA. RefSeq lists it as uncharacterized. The record is from RefSeq and is a predicted model, not a curated record. Lineage: Eukaryota; Metazoa; Chordata; Actinopteri; Osteoglossiformes; Mormyridae.
AAAAAGAAGUGGCGCUUCCCUUCCUUCCUUCCUUAAGUGAAUGAUAGGCGCGCCGCAUAGUUUUUUAAGGACCGCGUUUUAUCUUUCCUGUGCAGCCCUGUCGCUGGGCAAUGUUUGUUUUUAUUCAUAUUGAGAGAUUGAUCAACGUUUUGCAGUUGUUCACUUUCUGAGGGAAAAUUCGGUUGAUGUAAUACCAUCGUCUUGGCUGGAAAAAGUAAAUGGGCUGCAUGCAGUAAAGCUCAUCCUGAAGCAACCAACCUCACCAUGGACAAUUCAAUUGCAGUGACACUAAAGCACUGUCCACGCCAUGGAUCUCAGAAGGAUGAUGCUGCAGUGAGAGAUACAAGGGAAAUGGAGCAGGGACCUGAAGCGGAUGAAUUUGCUUGUUAAUGUUGAAUUUAACAUUUAAUAACAACAUUCUAAUGUUAUUAAAGUUUUUGAUGUUAAUAAAGUGAU